GGUUAUUUUAUUUUUAUUUAUAAGAUAAAAAGGUUUAAUAUUAAUAGUAAAAGGUUUAGAAAUUAUUUUAUAUUUGUACUGAGAAGGAAAAGUAAUAAAAUUUUUGUAUAGUAGAAAUUAAUUUUUGUAUCUUUUGUAUAAUGGUUUGAUAAUAUUAAUACAUGUAUUUGUAUUUCUCGAAAUAAAAAGAUUUAUUUAUUAUGUAUGUUAGUAUUAAAUAUUAAUAUUAAUAUGUGUUAGUUAACGUAGUAGAGUCAUUAUAUUAAUAAUAAAUGGUAGUGAUAUGCUAUUCGAUUUUUAAGAUAGCUAGUUUAUUAGUAAUUUCAUUUUAGUGAUAAUCUAAGUACAUUAUGAGAGUAGUUGAUUUAGAUUUAAAUAUUGGGGGAUAAGCUUCUUAUAGUGAGUGAGAUUUUAAAUAUAUUAUGUAUUUAAGUUGAGUUAAUAGUUUUUCUUAUUGUUAAUGUAUUUAUAUAUAGUGUUAUUUAUAUCUUAAUUAUUUUUAAUAUAAUAAAUAUUUUGUAAUUUUAUAAAAAUUAAUUAUAAUGUUUGAAUGAGUAUUUGUUAAUGUGUUGAAAUUAAUUUAUAUUUAUAACUAGAUGUUUUAAGUUAUAUUAGUUUACAUAUAAUUAAUUAAAAUAAAGGAAUUCAGCAAAUAUUAAUUUCGCCUGUUUAUCAAAAACAUGUCUCUUUGAUUUUUUAUAAUAAAGAGUUGGGCCUGCUCGGUGAGUAAUUUAACAGCUGCGGUAUUAUAACUGUACUAAGGUAGCAUAAUAAUUUGCCUUAUAAAUUGAGGCUAGAAUGAAUGGUUUGACGAAAAUUAUACUGUCUCUAUUUUAAUUGGUAGAAGUUAAUUUUUAAAGUGAAAAAGCUUAAAUAAUUUAAAGGGACGAGAAGACCCUAUUGAGCUUUUAUUAAAUAUGUAAAUUUAAUAUUAAUAUGUUAAUUGUUUUAGUAUUAUUUAUGUUAUUUUAAUUUUGAUUGGGGUGAUCAAGGAAUAAUAGUGUAGUAACUUCCUUAAUACUAAAUUUUAAUUAAAUAAUAAACCAAUAUUGUUGCUUAGAGAUAAGUUACCAUAGGGAUAACAGCGUAAUUUUCUUAGAGAGUUCAUAUUGAAAAGAGAGAUUGCGACCUCGAUGUUGGAUUAAAAUAACCAUUAAGUGAAGAGGCUUUAUUUGGUGAAUCUGUUCGAUUUUUAAAAUUUUACAUGAUCUGAGUUCAAACCGGUGUGAGCCAGGUUGGUUUUUAUCUUUUAAAAUUUAUAAUUAUUUAAUUUAGUACGAAAGGAUUGAUUAAGAUUAAUUUUAAUGAAUUAAUUUGAUAAGAUUAAUAAAGUUGGCAGAAAAUAUGCAAA
Molecule: ribosomal RNA, 1351 nt
Filed under: Bathypolypus ergasticus
Lineage: Eukaryota; Metazoa; Mollusca; Cephalopoda; Octopoda; Octopodidae
Description: 16S ribosomal RNA
Rfam family: Eukaryotic large subunit ribosomal RNA (bases 623-1351)
Source: RNAcentral